GACGAACGCUGGCGGCGUGCCUAAUACAUGCAAGUCGAGCGAACCAAUAAGAAGCUUGCUUUUUGUUGGUUAGCGGCGGACGGGUGAGUAACACGUGGGUAACCUGCCUGUAAGACCGGGAUAACUCCGGGAAACCGGUGCUAAUACCGGAUAGAUUAUCUUUCCGCAUGGAGAGAUAAGGAAAGAUGGCUAUUGCCAUCACUUACAGAUGGGCCCGCGGCGCAUUAGCUAGUUGGUGAGGUAACGGCUCACCAAGGCGACGAUGCGUAGCCGACCUGAGAGGGUGAGCGGCCACACUGGGACUGAGACACGGCCCAGACUCCUACGGGAGGCAGCAGUAGGGAAUCUUCCGCAAUGGACGAAAGUCUGACGGAGCAACGCCGCGUGAGCGAAGAAGGUCUUCGGAUCGUAAAGCUCUGUUGUUAGGGAAGAACAAGUAUCGGAGGAAAUGCCGGUACCUUGACGGUACCUGACGAGAAAGCCACGGCUAACUACGUG
Molecule: ribosomal RNA, 498 nt
Filed under: uncultured bacterium
Lineage: Bacteria
Description: partial 16S ribosomal RNA
Rfam family: Bacterial small subunit ribosomal RNA
Source: RNAcentral